RNAcentral lists this ribosomal RNA (253 nucleotides) under uncultured bacterium. RNAcentral describes it as "partial 16S ribosomal RNA". It matches the Rfam family "Bacterial small subunit ribosomal RNA", at positions 524 to 776 of the family's 1533-position model. The record is from RNAcentral.
GACGAACUGUGCAAACGUUAUUCGGAAUCACUGGGCUUGAAGAGUGCGUAGGCGGUUUCGUAAGUAGGGUGUGAAAGCCCCCAGCUCAACUGGGGAACUGCGUCCUAAACUGCGAGGCUGGAGUGAGGUAGGGGUGUGUGGAACUUCCGGUGGAGCGGUGAAAUGUGUUGAUAUCGGAAGGAACGCCGGUGGCGAAAGCGACACACUGGGCCUUGUCUGACGCUGAGGCACGAAAGCGUGGGGAGCAUACAGG